UACGAAGGGGGCUAGCGUUGCUCGGAAUGACUGGGCGUAAAGGGCGCGUAGGCGGUUUGUCCAGUCAGAUGUGAAAUUCCUGGGCUUAACCUGGGGGCUGCAUUUGAUACGUGCAGACUUGAGUGAGGAAGAGGGUUGUGGAAUUCCCAGUGUAGAGGUGAAAUUCGUAGAUAUUGGGAAGAACACCGGUGGCGAAGGCGGCAGCCUGGUCCUUGACUGACGCUGAGGCGCGAAAGCGUGGGGAGCAAACAGG
This 253-nucleotide ribosomal RNA is filed under the name uncultured bacterium. RNAcentral describes it as "partial 16S ribosomal RNA". It matches the Rfam family "Bacterial small subunit ribosomal RNA", at positions 524 to 776 of the family's 1533-position model. The record is from RNAcentral.